Non-coding RNA from Ameiurus melas (black bullhead), 74 nucleotides. The record is from the annotation of a GenBank genome assembly. NCBI's taxonomy places the organism in Eukaryota, Metazoa, Chordata, Actinopteri, Siluriformes, Ictaluridae.
GUAUGUGGUAGCUCAGUGGUUAAGACAUUGGGCUGCUGUUCAGAUGGUCAUGAGUUCAAACCCCAUCACGGCCA